UUGAUGGUUUUUCACAGAGUGAAUUUAUUUUAUCUUUAAACUUUUUUUUACAGAAAAAGAAAGAAGGCUCUCAUGGUUCUCUUCAUGAUAGCUCAUCCUGUGUCCUCCGGGGAGGACUUUUUAUCUUACUUUUUCUCUUCUUUUGGGCCCAAGAUCACUCUGCAGAGCCAGUUUCUUCCUCAAUCGUCAUUUUUACUUUUCAAAUAAACUUUGUCCUUUUCUGUUCAUUUCAUUCAAUUCUUUGUUCAAGGUGAGAAGAAUGUGGAAUCCAACUCCAGCAGGAGAGGCAAGCAACCCAAAGCCCAAACUGAAAAGCAUUUGGUGAGAAGCCUUAGAUCAGAUGGAGAACAUCUGGCCCACCUGCUGUGAGAAAGUACACAACACCUGCAUGAGAAGAAGCCGGCUGUUUUGGGAUGACCCAUCAACACCUAUACAAACCAUGCCUAAAUCAGCUUCCCAGCAAGAUAGACUUUGCUUGUUUGUUUUGUUUUUGACACAGGGUCUUGCUAUGUAGUUCAGGCUAGCCUUGAACUCACUAUGUAGCUCAGGCUGGCCUAAAACUAGGAGCAAUCCUCCUGACUCAGCCUCCCGAGUGCUGGGAUGACAGGCAUGCACCACCACGCCACCUGUAAGAUGGACUUUGGACAUGAGUCCUCCAUCUUGUUGAGCAGCUGGCUUUUUGAAUAAAGUCAUUUUCCAAGAGAAGAGAAGAGAAGAGAAGAGAAGCAAAGCAUGUUGGUGCACACACCUGUAAUCCAGGACUCAGGAGGCUGAUAGGAGAAUCACCAUGAGCUCGAGGCCAGCUUGGGCUACACAAUGAGUAAGCCAGCCUGAACUACAUAGUGAGACCCUGUCUCAAAAAAAAGAAAGUUCAAAGAAAAGAGAAAGGUGUUAAGACUCAACAGCACCAUUUUCCACACCCCAGCACCACGGGCUGCAACAUGAUGUUCCUGUAGUGCAGGAGGAGCCACACUGAGGAGCUCUGCUGACUGCACCUCUGCUGCCACCGGGUUUCCCUCGGCUCCAGGAAGAGCAUGGAGCACAAUCACAGGGUGAGAGCUGGCAUUGUUACAAUACUGGCUUCCACUCCAUACCCAGUUCAAGAAACCCAGGGGCCAAAUUAAAACAUAAUCAUUCUGAGUAACAUUUAUACUGCAGCCACUAUGAGCAUGGAGUGCACUGUGCACCCUCCAGAAAAAAAAAAAAUUAUUUUUCAUCACAAAGUUCCUUGUAUUAGCAACAAAGAUUCUGCAAAACAAUAGUGGUGCCCCCCCUUCUUCUUUUGUUUUUAGCUAUGUAAUCCAGGCUGGCCUUGAACUCACUAUGUACCCCAGGCUGGCUUUGAACUUGCUGAAAUCCCCCUGCCUCAGCCUCCCAAGUGCUAGGAUCAUAGGCAUGAGCCACCAUGUCUGGCUUACCCCUCUCUUCUUUUUUUUUUGGUACCAGGGAUCUAACCUGGGACCUUGUGCUUGGGAGGCAGGCGGUGGAACCACUGAGCUAAAUCCCCAUCCCUCCCCCUCUCUUCUUAAUGCAAUUGAGGGCGAAGUCAGUGCCUGAGAAGCUGGCUGGAGCAACUUUAAAGUACAAUGAACUAUUUCAGUGUAGAAUGAAUUGCAAAGUGGUAACAUUAAGCAAGAUAUAGUUAAAAAUACAGUAGCAAAUAUUUACCCCAUUACUAUUUGGUAAAAAGAUCUUGAAUCGUUUUUUCUUGUUUUUUUGGUGAAGGGAUGAAACCCUGGGCUCCAUACACUCAGAAGCAGGACCCUGAAUCUGCAAAACUUAUUUUUGGUGGACCAAAAGGUACCUGCUUCCUACCAUUGUUGAUUUUUCAUAAAAGUUCAACAUCAAAAGAACCUGUUGCUCCCUGCAUUUUCUUUAGGGCUACACUGCCCUCAAGGUUUGUCUACACAUGGGCCGGGAAUUUAGCUCAGUGGUGCCACCACCUGCCCUGCAAGCACAAGGACCCGAGUUCCAUCCCUGGUACCAAACAAACAAACAAACAAAAAGAUUUGUCUACACACUUUCAGAAGGAAAAUUUAAAAGAUGAAAAUUUUUUUCCAAUCCUACCGAUAUCUACCAACAUACAACAUCCUAGCAGAUACAAGGAUAUACAUGCAUUCAUGGCAUUAACCACCAGAGUGAGGGUGUCACCAUGUCACAGAGCCUCUAGGGAUGACACUGUACACCUGUGAGAGAACAAGUAAAAAGGCAAUAACUUGGGAAAAGUUACUAUGAAACACCUGCUUAUGUGCAUAGGAAAUAGUCGCCUCUGGAUUCUAAAUAACAGAAUUUCUAGUGCUAUUAAGAAUUUAGUAUUUGUGGGCUGGGGAUUUAGCUCAGUGGUUUCGCCGCCUGCUGCGCAAGCGCAAGGACCUGAGUUUGAUCCCCAGUACCAAAAAAAAAGAAACAAAAGAAUUUAGUAUUUGAUAUAUAAUGUUGAUUUUCCAAAAACAAAAUGUCCUGCAAACCUAAGUCAUAAAUCUCUGAGACGCCGAAGAAGAUAUCUUUACCCCGGCCCCAGCUGCCCACUGGCCCGUGAGAUGACACGGAAGACAGGCAGCGCUGUAUAACAUGGAGCACUGAAUGCCAGGUCGGGUCAGGACUCGGGCAUCCCAGAAUGCACUUGGUCCCAGAUGCUGUCAAACCAGCUGAGGUGAGGUGACGUCACAAAUGAACAACAUGGUACCGUGAAAUCUCAAAUUACAACAGGAUUCCACCAAGAGAAAGUAGAGGUCUCUGGAGAGAAACUGACCCUGAAAACACCAACACAUAAAUCCCACAUGAGUGGUGCAGAGAUGGUGGUGACACUGUGUGCCACACACAGACUAAACUAUGUGACACUACUAGCAGUAAGCACGGCUGCUGUGGAAAUGCAUUUAUUCACAAGUGAUUUGUGCGGCCUCACUGAACGCUGGACACAUCCUUGCAACUCAGCAACCUUCACACAGGUUCGGGGAAGAAGUCAAGAACACAUAGGAAGAAUCAAGGUAAGAAUAAGGCAUGGAGGAAAGAGAAGGGAGAGGAUGUGGAUGAAGAGGAGCAGGAGGCAGGAGGAGGCGCUGGAGCUGGACUGAGGGCUGCGGGGCUUACAUUCUUCCAGAACUCUCUGUAUGGUCCUGUGCAUGUCAUUGUUUCUUUACAGCCA
RNAcentral lists this long non-coding RNA (3145 nucleotides) under Heterocephalus glaber (naked mole-rat). RNAcentral's name for it is "lncRNA (ENSHGLG00100032843.1)". Lineage: Eukaryota; Metazoa; Chordata; Mammalia; Rodentia; Bathyergidae. The record is from RNAcentral.